GAAUUUUAUCACCUAUCUGAUUGAUUAUUUAUUAAAUUGAAAUAUGUUUGAAGAGGAAAGUAGUAGGAAUAGUAACGAGAUAUUAAUUGAAGAAGUAUUGACAAACAUUUGGGAAAUUACAGUGAAAAUAAAGAGAGAAUUGGACGCAAUAAAUGAACUUGUAAAAGAAAAUGGAAAUUUCUGUUCAGCAGUCGUACAUACAAACCAGAGCUUAUUGAAAAUACUUGAAGGAAAAGGUAUAGAUUUAUCUGCAAUUGAAGAAGAAGAAGAAGAAGAAGAAGAGAAAGAAGAAGAAGAAAAAAACAAUGGUGAAAAUAGUAAUAGUUCAUACUUUGAG
RNAcentral lists this unclassified non-coding RNA (337 nucleotides) under Polistes dominula (European paper wasp). Its description in RNAcentral is "uncharacterized LOC107065158, transcript variant X1". Lineage: Eukaryota; Metazoa; Arthropoda; Insecta; Hymenoptera; Vespidae. The record is from RNAcentral.